UGCGCAGGCGGCCAAGUGUGUUAGGCGUGAAAGCCUGGGGCUUAACCCCAGAAUUGCACCUAAAACUACAUGGCUAGAGCAUUGGAGAGGGUAGCGGAAUUCACGGUGUAGCAGUGAAAUGCGUAGAUAUCGUGAGGAACACCAGAGGCGAAGGCGGCUACCUGGACAAUUGCUGACGCUCAGGCACGAAAGGCGUGGGGAGCAAAAG
This 208-nucleotide ribosomal RNA is filed under the name uncultured bacterium. RNAcentral describes it as "partial 16S ribosomal RNA". It matches the Rfam family "Bacterial small subunit ribosomal RNA", at positions 568 to 774 of the family's 1533-position model. The record is from RNAcentral.